This 1450-nucleotide long non-coding RNA is filed under the name Dasypus novemcinctus (nine-banded armadillo). Its description in RNAcentral is "lncRNA (ENSDNOG00000052767.1)". Lineage: Eukaryota; Metazoa; Chordata; Mammalia; Cingulata; Dasypodidae. The record is from RNAcentral.
GGCUGGGCCCGAGCCGGGGGGCUCCCGGGCGGAGAGAAGCGGGCGGGCGUCGCCGGGCCCCUGGCCGCCGCCGCGUCCUGCCCUUCUCCUGCCUUUCCUCGACCCCUUCUCUUCCUCUGCCGCGGCCCCCGCUCUGCGGUCUCUGUCCCUCCGGGUGCGCGUCCCACCUCGCGGCCCAGGCCGCCUACCGCGUCUAUGCAGACCCUCUCCACACUCGGCUACAGAAACUCCGACUCGCAACUUUGCCGGAAUCUUCCCUCCAGAGACCCCUUUCCCUGCCUUCCGCGAGCAGCCCCCGCCCCCAACUGGCCGCCUGCCUGCCCUCAGCAGAAAACCGAGUCAAUCCGGAAAAACAGGCGCGGGUGCGGCGGGAGAGGAGCGGGGAGCCGGAUUAGGGAGGCCGAGGGGACGGGGGCGGCCGGGACUGAGAGACGCCCACGUUCCCUAACCACUGCUGAUGGCUCGUGCCAGGCGCGAUUGGCAGGUUCGAGCAGGCACAGUCAUUCCGCACACAGAUGUCCCUGCGUUCCCUCUUCUGAUAUGAAUCCUGUCAGCUCGGAAUCUGAGGGAGAUGAGCAGACAGCCGCACAGACAGAAUCACAGACAGACGCAGGCACAGACAGCAAUUGUCUGGAGGACACAGAACACGGUAGCUCUGAGGGCCGCACAACAUCACCCCUGAACUUCAGAGUGGAGUCUUCAGAGCCAGAGGCACCAAAACCUGAGAGGUCUAUUCCCUCACCACGCCGGACCCUCCCGAAUUCUGGAAUUGCCGCAUCGCCGCCGAGUUCUGAUUUCUAGAACACAGACAAGGUGCAGGUUCCCACGUUCUAGAAUCCCUGAAAUUCUAAACCCCAGAACUCCUGCCCUGAGCCAGGACAACAGUGCUCUGAGCGCCCAAUUACUCUACUGCCCUUUGCAGCCGAGGAGUAAGUGGGUGCUGUCCUGUGCCCCUGGGCCGAGGGUCCCUGCCAGCCUGGCCCUCACCCGAAGCCCCUGACCCCCUGCUCCCUGCCCUUACCCCCUGGCAACCAGCCAAGAGACACAGCCCCUUUGAAUUAGAGACUCCGAAGGCCAAGCCCCCUGGCUCCUGUCCCCCUCUGAUCCUCCCCACCGGCCCUGGCCACCACCGCCUUGCCCGUCCCAGCGCUGCGGGAGCGCAAGCAGCCCGGGCAGGAGCCAUGGGGGUUUGGGUGGCUCUGGGUAGCGGGAGCUGGUGGGAGAAGAGGAAACCGGCAAAAGGGGCGAAGAAACUCCCAGCGGCGCAGAUGGAGAAGAGGGGCGCAAAGGCUUUGGGGCUGUGGUUUGUUGGGUUGUGUUUUUUAAUCUUCUCCCUUUUUCUUUUCUUUUCUUUUUUUAAAGAAAAAAAGCCCCCAUCCUGUGUCAUCAUUUUUAUGGGAUCUGCAAUUCUGGCAAAAAUCUGUCUUUAAUUUAGCUGUCCAUAUAAAAA